Long non-coding RNA from Cebus imitator (Panamanian white-faced capuchin), 409 nucleotides. RefSeq lists it as uncharacterized. Lineage: Eukaryota; Metazoa; Chordata; Mammalia; Primates; Cebidae. The record is from RefSeq and is a predicted model, not a curated record. The transcript is spliced from 2 exons.
GCCUGACUAAUGAGGCGUGGGGCGACCCAGGAACACCCCCCUCCUCAUGUACCACACUCUUCAGGCUUUCUCUUAGUUUUGGCAUGUGCAUGUAAAUGUCAACAGAUCAAUAAAGGCAAAAACCAGGAGAUCCCAUAAAUCCUGCUGAGCCUGUCAUAGCUGUCAAAUUAUGCCCAGAUAAAGCUUCUGGUGGCUAAUGACAUGGCCAUCACCCAGCGUGGCUGUGGGCAGGAGGGGGCUCUCCAAGAGCAUCUGGUCUGCUGUGGAGACACUUGUCACGAAGUAUCAUCUGGAGGCUCUGUGGCUGUAAUGGAGAGUGACGCUUUGAACGUGAUUAUCUCCCCCAUAAAGAAAUAAAUAAAUAAUAAGGAUAAUUUAAAAAUAAACAAAGAUCUAGAUUUGCAGGCUA